RNAcentral lists this microRNA precursor (190 nucleotides) under Oryza brachyantha (malo sina). RNAcentral describes it as "MIR812 microRNA precursor family". It matches the Rfam family "MIR812 microRNA precursor family". The record is from Rfam by way of RNAcentral. Lineage: Eukaryota; Viridiplantae; Streptophyta; Magnoliopsida; Poales; Poaceae.
GAUAAGCGCAUUUUUCACCGGUUAUGUUUUAUGUUUGAUCAUCUGUCUUAUUUAAAAAAUUAUAAUUAGUAUUUUUAUUGUUAUUAGAUAAUAAAACAUGAAUAAUACUUUAUGUGUAACUAUUUUACUUUUUUCUAUAAAUUUUUCAAAUAAUACGAACGGUCAAACGUUAAGCACAUGAAUCCUUAAA